RNAcentral lists this long non-coding RNA (647 nucleotides) under Androctonus crassicauda. The record is from RNAcentral. Lineage: Eukaryota; Metazoa; Arthropoda; Arachnida; Scorpiones; Buthidae.
CUUAGAAAGCGAUCUAAUGUCUGAAAAUCUCCUAUUUUUAGAUACCAAGUGACAAUAUUGUUCGAAUGUUAUCCAUUGUUCCGUGCACCUUGGGGCAAUUAUGCCCUCUCUUUCUUCCUCUUUUGAUUAGAAAGUUGGUGGAGAAGAUAUGGAAGGCAAUUAACUCUGAGUUAGUUCUGCGUGUAAUUACUUCUUUGCCUCGGGACUUUCAAACUCGCAAACCUUUUACAACCAAUCAGAUUACGUUUCGUCAUUAUGGUAUCAGAAAGAUUUUUCGCUUGUCUGUCUAUACGUCUGUCUUAAGUAUUUUUCUAUCGUUUUUUUUUUGCCCCUGUUUAAUCGAUCGAGUUUGAGAAUUUUUACCUCGUACUCCACUCCGUCGUCGUCUGCAUCGGGUUCGCUUCCCAGAGACACGUAAUGAUCGCUUGUAAGCAGUGCCAACUGAUGAGCAGUUUGAGACAUGGUACUGUAACGAAAACGAUAUUUUGUGUAUACGUAACUGAUAACGGCGUAACACGGAAGUGGUUAUCUACUUACUUAUUCUGUUCUAGUGGUAGCAGAGGAUCCCAAUUUCCGGACCAUUCAGUUUGUGUGGUGAUAUCGCAACAGUUUGGAGAUUGCAGGUGACCAGAUUCUGUCAUGCCAGG